This 1640-nucleotide long non-coding RNA is filed under the name Daucus carota (carrot). Its description in RNAcentral is "long non-coding RNA (DCAR_LNC003412)". Lineage: Eukaryota; Viridiplantae; Streptophyta; Magnoliopsida; Apiales; Apiaceae. The record is from RNAcentral.
GGGGGCUCCUCAAUGGCAUUGAAGCUGCUUCUACUGUGGCUGGUUGUUCUGGGACAGGGUCAAGUGGUAAUGUUGAUGAAGCAGGAGGCAGGAGGCAGUUUCCGGGGGUGGAUAAACAGUCUUCAAUAAACACUGAUAGCCAUUCCAAGUUUAUAUCCUCUUCUUCCACCUAUUCGUUUUACAAUAAUCAUCCACAAAAGAAAGGCCAUUUAAAAUUAGAGGAACGAAUUAGACCAUUUAAAAUGACAAAACCAAAAGUAAAAAUAACCAAAAAAACAUAGACAAAACCAGGCAAGUUGUAAAUGAGCAUGUAAUAUCAGAGGAAGAAAGAACACGUAAUGUAAAGCACACGAACAAUACCGUUGUAUUGCCGGAGAAAAGAUCAUCUAAGCUGCCAAGAGUAGCGGGAGCGUGAUAUGGUUGAUGUUCCGACGGCAAGCCACCGGAAAGUGUAACAUUCCGGCAGAAAGCCAUAGUGAGCUCAAGAGGGGGAGUGAGGGAGAGCCUGUGCUUAAUAUACCAUCUUUCUGUGUCGGCAAAUAAUGCAGUAAUAUACUACAAAAAAAUCGCAACGAUUUAUGGAACCAAUAUUAUUUUUAGUUAUUAUUUAUUAGAGAAAAACCACAGUACCCAUCAAUCCAUCGAAUCUAGUUUAUCGUACAUGAAAUCAGGUAUUUAAAAAAAACCAGUGUGUAUCGGAAAUUUUCCGAAUAAAUUUUAUAAAAUAUUCUAUCAUUUUAAUGAUUAAAAUAAAUUGAACUAACAAAAAGUCCAAAUUAAUAUUCAGUAAAAGUACUGAAUGGAUAGAUAAACUAACUAGUUUCAAUACUCAUGUACAACAUAUUUUCUUCGCUAGUGGAGUAAUGCUUUGUGAAAUAUUGUAAGCGUUUGUCUGGUGUGUGCUCACUCCUGACCGAUGGAUAUUCAUCUAACGGCCCAGAAUCUAUAAGUUACUUAACAGCUCCGUGACAAUCAUAUACCAGAGACCGUUAUCCGAACAAAAUUUGCAAGUUUACCAUAUAGCCAGAACUAGAUGAACUAACAUAUCCAGUACACUACAUGACUGUCUUUGACCCUGGAAACAUCAUAUUAUUCAUACACCUCAAAAAGGGGCUUAAGAACAACUCUUAUGGUGAUUAAACAGAUAAAACAGAUGGAAAAUUAAUCACCAUUAAAGGAGGAAAGCACUGACAUACUUCUCAUCUCCAAGACUUUCUUGUGAGAAUUGGAGUGCUUGUAGCUCACAAAAGUGGGACUCUUUGCUGGCCUGUACUCAGGCAACAACCUGCCGGACUUGUACCUCACCCCACAUGCAUUGCACAGUGUUUUUGGCCCUGCUGGUCCUGCCCUCCAUUGUGGGGUCUUCUGUGACAAACAGUGGCUACAUCUCCUUGGCUGCUGCCCAUUUAGACCCUGAAAACUGCUGCCCAUAUUUCCCUCUUUUGCAAUGCUUUGUUCCUGAUAUUUGGGGAAAAUGGGUUCACUGUCAGCCAACCAAUAAGCCUGGUGGAGCAAAGGAGGGUCAGGGCUCCAUCUCAUGCUUUUUCUGGGAUUUUUACAUGGAACUCUGCUUCUUUUGCUUCUUGCCCUUGAAGCUCCAGGGGGGCUCCUCAAUGGCAUUGAAGCUGCUUCUACUGUGG